Molecule: ribosomal RNA, 77 nt
Filed under: Blautia faecis
Lineage: Bacteria; Bacillati; Bacillota; Clostridia; Lachnospirales; Lachnospiraceae
Description: partial 16S ribosomal RNA
Rfam family: Bacterial small subunit ribosomal RNA (bases 1-69)
Source: RNAcentral
GGACCGAUGACUGGGGUGAAGUCGUAACAAGGUAGCCGUAUCGGAAGGUGCGGCUGGAUCACCUCCUUUCUAGGGAA